UGUUCAAUGGUGUAAUGGUAGCACAACAGAUUCUGGUCCUGUUAGUCCAAGUUCGAGCCUUGGUUGAACAA
This 71-nucleotide transfer RNA is filed under the name Parabacteroides chinchillae. It matches the Rfam family "tRNA". From Rfam's summary of the family: Transfer RNA (tRNA) molecules are approximately 80 nucleotides in length. Their secondary structure includes four short double-helical elements and three loops (D, anti-codon, and T loops). RNAcentral also lists the same sequence under 1 other name. Lineage: Bacteria; Pseudomonadati; Bacteroidota; Bacteroidia; Bacteroidales; Tannerellaceae. The record is from Rfam by way of RNAcentral.